GGCGGAAACUGGUUGGCUUGGGGCCGGAAGAUCCGAGGGGUACGUCCGGGGUAGGAGUGAAAUCCCGUAAUCCUGGACGGACCACCGGUGGCGAAAGCGCCUCGGAAAGACGGACCCGACGGUGAGGGACGAAAGCUAGGGUCUCGAACCGGAUUAGAUACCCGGGUAGUCCUAGCUGUAAACGAUGCUCGCUAGGUGUGGCGCAGGCUACGAGCCUGCGCUGUGCCGUAGGGAAGCCGUGAAGCGAGCCGCCUGGGAAGUACGUCUGCAAGGAUGAAACUUAAAGGAAUUGGCGGGGGAGCACUACAACCGGAGGAGCCUGCGGUUUAAUUGGACUCAACGCCGGACAUCUCACCAGCCCCGACAGUAGCUGUGAAAGUCAGUCUGAUGAGCUUACUGGAGCUACUGAGAGGAGGUGCAUGGCCGCCGCCAGCUCGUACCGUGAGGCGUCCUGUUAAGUCAGGCAACGAGCGAGACCCGCACCCUUAGUUGCCAGCAACAGCCUUGUGCUGGUUGGGUACACUAGGGGGACUGCCGCUGCUAAAGCGGAGGAAGGAACGGGCAACGGUAGGUCAGUAUGCCCCGAAUGGGCUGGGCAACACGCGGGCUACAAUGGCCGAGACAAUGGGAUGCCAUCCCGACAGGGAGCGCUAAUCCCCUAAACUCGGUCGUAGUUCGGAUUGAGGGCUGAAACUCGCCCUCAUGAAGCUGGAUUCGGUAGUAGUCGCGUGUCAGAAGCGCGCGGCGAAUACGUCCCUGCUCCUUGCACACAA
This 773-nucleotide ribosomal RNA is filed under the name uncultured haloarchaeon. RNAcentral describes it as "bacterial SSU rRNA". It matches the Rfam family "Archaeal small subunit ribosomal RNA", at positions 576 to 1346 of the family's 1478-position model. The record is from RNAcentral. Lineage: Archaea; Methanobacteriati; Methanobacteriota; Halobacteria; Halobacteriales; Halobacteriaceae.